This 501-nucleotide ribosomal RNA is filed under the name uncultured bacterium. Its description in RNAcentral is "bacterial SSU rRNA". It matches the Rfam family "Bacterial small subunit ribosomal RNA", at positions 8 to 518 of the family's 1533-position model. The record is from RNAcentral.
AGAGUUUGAUUAUGGCUCAGGACGAACGCUGGCGGCGUGCUUAACACAUGCAAGUCGAACGAUGACGAUGGUGCUUGCACCGUCUGAUUAGUGGCGAACGGGUGAGUAACACGUGAGUAACCUGCCCUCCUCUUCGGGAUAACCGCCGGAAACGGUGGCUAAUACUGGAUAUGAAUGCCUGCCGCAUGGUGGGUGUUGGAAAGAUUUAUCGGUGGGGGGAUGGACUCGCGGCCUAUCAGUUUGUUGGUGAGGUAAUGGCUCACCAAGGCGAUGACGGGUAGCCGGCCUGAGAGGGCGACCGGCCACACUGGGACUGAGACACGGCCCAGACUCCUACGGGAGGCAGCAGUGGGGAAUAUUGCACAAUGGGCGAAAGCCUGAUUGCAGCGACGCCGCGUGGGGGAUGACGGCCUUCGGGUUGUAAACCUCUUUCAGCAGGGAAGAAGCGAGAGUGACGGUACCUGCAGAAGAAGCGCCGGCUAACUACGUGCCAGCCGCCGC